RNAcentral lists this ribosomal RNA (620 nucleotides) under uncultured archaeon. Its description in RNAcentral is "bacterial SSU rRNA". It matches the Rfam family "Archaeal small subunit ribosomal RNA", at positions 42 to 639 of the family's 1478-position model. The record is from RNAcentral.
GACUAAGCCAUGCAAGUUAAGCCUCCCUAGCUAUGUUGGGAGAGCAGCGAACGGCUCAGUAACACGUAGUUAAUCUGCCCUUGGGACGGAGAUAACUCCGGGAAACUGGAGCUAAUAACUGAUAGAUGGAAGUUCCUGGAAUGGUCUUCCACCAAAAAGUUCUAGGGAACAUGCUCUCAAGAACGCCCAAGGAUGAGACUGCGUCCGAUCAGGUUGUUGGUGGGGUAACGGCCCACCAAGCCGUUGACCGGUACGGGCCCUGAGAGGGGGAGCCCGGAGAUGGGAACUGAGAUAAGGUCCCAGGUCCUACGGGGCGCAGCAGGCGCGAAAACUCCACAAUGCGCGAAAGCGUGAUGGGGUUACCCCGAGUGCCGUCCGAUGAGGAGGGCUUUUACCCAGUGUAAGGAGCUGGGAGAAUAAAGGGGGGGAAAGACUGGUGUCAGCCGCCGCGGUAAUACCAGCCCCCUGAGUGAUAGGGACGAUUAUUUAGCCUAAAGCGUUCGUAGCCGGUCAAGCAAGUCUUUCGUUAAAUCCGACGACUUAAUUGUCAGACCGCGGGAGAUACUACUAGACUAGAGGGCGGGAGAGGUUGACGGUAUUCCUGGGGUAGGGGUGAAAUC